UCCCUGGUGGACUAGUGGCUAAGACUCUGCUCUUCCAAUGCAGAGGGCCCGGGUUUGAUCUCUGAUCAGGGAU
This 73-nucleotide transfer RNA is filed under the name Bos taurus (domestic cattle). It matches the Rfam family "tRNA". Rfam says of the family: Transfer RNA (tRNA) molecules are approximately 80 nucleotides in length. Their secondary structure includes four short double-helical elements and three loops (D, anti-codon, and T loops). Lineage: Eukaryota; Metazoa; Chordata; Mammalia; Artiodactyla; Bovidae. RNAcentral also lists the same sequence under 4 other names. The record is from Rfam by way of RNAcentral.